GACGAACCGUGCGAACGUUGUUCGGAAUCACUGGGCUUAAAGGGCGCGUAGGCGGCCCGCCAAGUCAGGGGUGAAAGCUUCCGGCUCAACCGGAAAAGGGCCUUUGAUACUGGCGGGCUCGAGGGAGGUAGGGGCAGAUGGAACUUCCGGUGGAGCGGUGAAAUGUGUUGAUAUCGGAAGGAACGCCGGUGGCGAAAGCGAUCUGCUGGACCUCUACUGACGCUGAGGCGCGAAAGCUAGGGUAGCGAACGGG
This 253-nucleotide ribosomal RNA is filed under the name uncultured bacterium. RNAcentral describes it as "partial 16S ribosomal RNA". It matches the Rfam family "Bacterial small subunit ribosomal RNA", at positions 524 to 776 of the family's 1533-position model. The record is from RNAcentral.